CUAAUACAUGCAAGUCGAGCGCGGGAAGCAGACUGAAGCCUUCGGGCGGACGUCUGUGGAACGAGCGGCGGAUGGGUGAGUAACACGUGGGCAACCUGCCUGUAAGCUCGGGAUAACUAGCGGAAACGCUAGCUAAUACCGAAUAACGCUGCGCACCGCAUGGCGCGCAGAUGAAAGGCGGCGCAAGCUGCCACUUACAGAUGGGCCUGCGGCGCAUUAGCUAGUUGGUGGGGUAAUGGCCUACCAAAGCAACGAUGCGUAGCCGACCUGAGAGGGUGAUCGGCCACACUGGGACUGAGACACGGCCCAGACUCCUACGGGAGGCAGCAGUAGGGAAUCUUCCGCAAUGGACGCAAGUCUGACGGAGCAACGCCGCGUGAGUGAUGAAUGUCUUCGGAUUGUAAAACUCUGUUGUUAGGGAAGAACAAGUACCGUUCGAAUAGGCCGGUACCUUGACGGUACCUAACCAGAAAGCCCCGGCUAACUACGUGCCAGCAGCCGCGGUAAUACGUAGGGGGCAAGCGUUGUCCGGAAUUAUUGGGCGUAAAGGGCGCGUAGGCGGUCUCUUAAGUCUGAUGUGAAAGCCCACGGCUUAACCGUGGAGGGUCAUUGGAAACUGGGAGACUUGAGUGCAGAAGAGGAGAGUGGAAUUCCAUGUGUAGCGGUGAAAUGCGUAGAGAUGUGGAGGAACACCAGUGGCGAAGGCGG
RNAcentral lists this ribosomal RNA (708 nucleotides) under uncultured bacterium. RNAcentral's name for it is "bacterial SSU rRNA". It matches the Rfam family "Bacterial small subunit ribosomal RNA", at positions 48 to 724 of the family's 1533-position model. The record is from RNAcentral.